Molecule: ribosomal RNA, 252 nt
Filed under: Enterococcus faecium
Lineage: Bacteria; Bacillati; Bacillota; Bacilli; Lactobacillales; Enterococcaceae
Description: partial 23S ribosomal RNA
Rfam family: Bacterial large subunit ribosomal RNA
Source: RNAcentral
AGAAUCCUGUCCACCGAAUGUCUAAGGUUUCCUGGGGAAGGCUCGUCCGCCCAGGGUUAGUCGGGACCUAAUCCGAGUCCGACAGGCGUAGGCGAUGGAUAAGAGGUUGAUAUUCCUGUACCCGUUGUUUUUGUUUGAGCAAUGGAGGGACGCAGGAGGCUAAGGAAUGCAGACGAUCUGAAAUGUCUGUCCAAGCAGUAAGUCUGAAGAGGAGUCAAAUGCUUCUUUUCUUAAGGACAAGCUGUGAUGGGG